AGUUCUGUUAUGCUUAGUUACCUAGAUUUAUUAUAAGUCAAUUAUGCAGCUAAAUGAUAACAUAUGUUGGUACAUUGUUAAUUAUGUUGAUUGUUUACUCUUUGUUAAAAAUCAAUUAAAGUUUGGUAAUUUCACAAGUUAGAGGCAAGUUAUUUAUGACUUAACAAUGUCAGAUUGAAACCUGAAUCUGUUUAAAUAGACACAAGGCUGGUGUUUUACUUUAUCUCUUUAGAAACUUCUCCUAUCUUUGUGCUUUGUUUUUAUUAGUAUUUAUUCCGAAUCGUAUUAGAUACAGAUAAAAAGAGCCAGA
RNAcentral lists this unclassified non-coding RNA (310 nucleotides) under Hevea brasiliensis (rubber tree). The record is from RNAcentral. Lineage: Eukaryota; Viridiplantae; Streptophyta; Magnoliopsida; Malpighiales; Euphorbiaceae.